AUUGAACGCUGGCGGCAUGCCUUACACAUGCAAGUCGAACGGCAGCACGGGAGCAAUCCUGGUGGCGAGUGGCGAACGGGUGAGUAAAGUAUCGGAACGUGCCCAGUCGUGGGGGAUAACGUAGCGAAAGUUACGCUAAUACCGCAUACGAUCUAUGGAUGAAAGCGGGGGAUCGCAAGACCUCGCGCGAUUGGAGCGGCCGAUAUCAGAUUAGGUAGUUGGUGGGGUAAAGGCUCACCAAGCCGACGAUCUGUAGCUGGUCUGAGAGGACGACAAGCCACACUGAGACUGAGACACGGCCCAGACUCGUACGGGAGGCAGCAGUGGGGAAUUUUGGACAAUGGGCGAAAGCCUGAUCCAGCCAUGCCGCGUGCAGGAUGAAGGCCUUCGGGUUGUAAACUGCUUUUGUACGGAACGAAAAGGUUUGGCCUAAUAAGCUGAGCUCAUGACGGUACCGUAAGAAUAAGCACCGGCUAACUACGUGCCAGCCGCCGCAGUAA
RNAcentral lists this ribosomal RNA (500 nucleotides) under uncultured bacterium. RNAcentral describes it as "partial 16S ribosomal RNA". It matches the Rfam family "Bacterial small subunit ribosomal RNA", at positions 30 to 523 of the family's 1533-position model. The record is from RNAcentral.